UAAGGAUGAACCAUUACCGAAAUUUUCUCAUUCGAUAAAGAAAUUUGGAAGCUAGAUUCAACAAAGAUUUUUUCUCAUUAAUUAAAGAAGAUAGAUUGAUCACCUCAGUGAGAGAGCAAUAAAGGUGAUCCUUAACAAGCACGUUUCACUACUUUAUAGUUAUUCUUUGCUCUCUUAUUCUAGCGACCAAUAUUAAUUGAUACUUUAUCUCUGAUUUUGGAAUUUGGGUAAACUUACAUCUGAAUUUUUGUAACAUUUUAUUGUGUCUGUAUUGAUCCUAUGCAUGCCGUGUUCCUUCAAAUAUAGAAUAAAAUGAUAUAAAAAGAUAUAGAUUCAGAUGUAUGCUUCAUUUGUUGAUUACAUGACUUUUUGAUUUUUGAGUAUCCUUGCCACCUACACUAAAUCUCAUUGCCUCUGCGUCAGAAUAGUUAGAGCUGCUCAUUUUAUGCUGUUUUGUAAUUAGUAUUAAAAAAAAAAAAUUAAAGAGGUCGAACAUUUUAGGAUGAUUUAUUUGAGUUUAAUAUUUUAGGAUAAAAUUCAAAUCAAUUUUUAAUCUCUUAUGUCUUCAAGAUUUGAACUCCAAUGAUAAAUUAAAUAAAUCUGUUCGAAAACCACUUGACGAGGAUCACAUUAGUUUAUUAAGACAAAAUCUAGUUUAAUUUUUCGUAACACAUGACUUUCAUUUUUUUGUUAUGAUUUUAUCCUUAUUAAUUUCAACAUUAAUUAUUGCUCUUACUCUAGUGAACAUUAACAUCUGGAGAAAUUUACAUAACGAGCCCAAAAAUUUUUAAAUUUUUUGAAAUUGAUCCCUCUAACUUUUUCUAUCAUAACUAGUCAAAUACAAUUUCUUGAACACGUUUACCCUUAUCGAAAACUCAGUCUCAUCUCUCUUCAGCCCGCAAUGAACGAACAAAAUCCUAAAGUCUUGAGAUUGUCAGCAGUACUGUGACGACAUGUCGGCAGGGACGAAGGCAGCUUCAGCUUUCUAUUUCUUGUGCACUUCAUUUGACAGUAGCUUCUCUAAUUAACAAUGAUAGCAUGUUUUGACGAGUAAAAUCUAAUUUGUUGCUGAUGUGAAAUUGAAUUGCUCUAAUUUUAUAGAAAUUAUUGGUGAAAAAAUAGUGUAUUCUAUUUGUAUUAGUGAAAAAAAUAGUAUGUUAGGUUUGCAUUAGUAAAAGAACGAACAAUUGUGGUAAAUAUGUAAAUAUAGUUUAAGGUCAAUUAUUGCACAUAAGUGUUUAAGAAAUGUGUGUGAGAGUAUUUUUUUUUUCAUUAUUUGAGCGUUUGAAAUGAUAUGUAUGGUGUGUGUUGUGUUAUUGUUGUGUUACAUGGUAUGAGAAUGGUGAUGGUGGUGGCUAACCACCGAGAUGAUAAUGAUGAUGAUUUUGUGGUGUUUUGUGUGUGGGUGUGUUUUGGUGCGAUAGGCACCAUAGGAACCAUUGUUUUGGUCUAUCGCACUGACGGAAAAUUCAAAUAAGGUAUUGUAUGAAAGUGAUGUAGUGGGAGUCUAAUGUUCUAAUAUGUCAUUGAUUCUUAAAAAAUCGGAAUAAACAAAUAGUUUAAAUUCAUAUUGAUUCAUAAUAAUACUGUGAAUAUAGGAAUUAAGACUCCUUGAUUCUGCAAAAUGCCGAUAAUUAACUAAAUUAAAAAACUCACACAGAUAUUUGAAAACUGAAAAUGUUAUUGAACCCAAAUUGCUUCAAAGACUACAAGUGAAGAUUUAUUUAUGCUACUAGUAAUUAUCCUAAACCACAAAGAAAAGAAAAACAAAGUCCUAAACUACUAUAAAAAGAAGAAUAAAUCUUAGACAAUAAGAUAACUAAUCUAAAUAGGAUAAGGAUUCCUAAUCUACAACAUAAAGUAUGAUUUCUUCAAUUCUCACAUGAGAAUAGAAGGAUUUUUGUUCUGAUUGAGUCGGUUCCAAGAUUUUUUUUUUUUUUUUGUCUACCUAUUUUGGUGUGAUGGCCCAUGGCACUUAGACAUAGGCACAUAGCACACUAAUAUGGUGUGUAUGGGUAUUUGGUACGAUAGGCAUGUGCUGAGACACAGUUGUAUAGAAGCACAAUUGCUAUGUUUUGGUUUUUUUUAAUCUUUUAAUUAUUACCGUAAUUUUACAAAUGUUAUUAUUAACCAUUUUACUAUGUGAUUUAUCAUAGAUACAUGGGGCUUCUCCAAUUGAGAAAUCAUAGGCGGAGAUAGAUAAAGUGGCAUAGUAGUGCUACACGUACCCGUCUCCCAGGGUAUAAGACCAGAGGUCCUUGUCGCCCGAGCUUAAGUGGUACAGGUACAUGUCGCACUUGUGUGUCGUCUUCUAGUUCAUUUUUACUUAAAAUUUAUUUGUUUGAACCGUUUUUUUAAUAUGUCAACUCAAACUUAGUAUUGUAUGAACCCAAAAUGUUAGAAAAAUAUAUAUAUAAUGACACUGACAUCAAUUUGUUGAGAAUGGUGAAAUUUGAAGAUUAGUUGAGACUAGUAUCGUUUUGGUGAAUUGUUGAGGGUGGUGGGUAUUUUCAUCCAAAAAUUAGAUAUUUGACUAGCUAUAUAUGAUAGAAAAAUUUAAAGGGCUGCUGUACCGUACAUCCGCCUUGGCCGUACAGCAGGUCUUUAUCCAUAAUUCUAAUAUAAAAAAUUUAGUUACACAUAAUUAAACUGGGGAUAAAAGAAUAGAUAAAACCUUAAGGGGAAAUCAAUCCGAGCGGAUGGCUCUUUCUCCAAGCCGUCGCUGCUGCUGCGCUUCAAUUCCUCUUGGGCGCUGCAAUUCCACCCCUCUUUCUGUGCAAAAGCCGAAGACUUGGCUUAGGCCACCGACUUCCCAAAUCAAAUCAAAUUCUUUUAUUAUUUUGAUUAUAGCCACCGUCUCCUGCAAAUCAAGGAAAUAAAAACCUUGCAAUGGGCUCUUAUAUUAAAAUUUAUCAUUAAAGAUAGUUAAAGAUUCUUAAGAAAAAAUUAAUGAAAGAAUUAAUUAAUUAAUUAAUUAUAUAAAAUUUUUAUUAAUUUGUGUUUAUUAAAAUAUUAUGAACUCAUUGUAAUUAUUCCUUAAAAAUGGGAUGGAUUUAUAAAAAUAAGAGGGUGGAAAAUACAGACUCCGAUCCACUAUUAGACAAAACACGUUACAUCGGAAUUGAUGUUUUUCUCCUUGUUUUUUUUCCCUGUUUUUUUUCCCCGUGAGUUUUUUUUUUUUGAAAGGAAACUUCCAUUAAUUCGAAGAGGAAAAGAGAUACAUCAAUUGUGAAGGGUAGGAACCCAUCCAAACAACAUUUUCACAUUUCUCUAAUGCUAACUUAGCUAGAGAGUGGGCAAUGGCAUUACGAGAUCUAUGAGUAUAAUUAAUGCUAACUAGCUCAAAAUUUCUCAUUAAGUUUUGAAUCUCCAAAAUUAUCCAAAAGAUCUCGAACUUGCCGCCUUGCUUGUUGUUAACUAACUUGACUACGCUUUGAGCGUCUGAUUCAACAAUUAAAGCCUUUGCACUUGCAUUCCUAGCAAUCUGUAAUCCCCAUUCCAAGGCUUCUGCUUCAGCAAAGGAAACAUCUCCAUUAAAUUUCGAAAUCUUAAUUGCAGCUGCUAUAAUAGUCCCCUGAUCAUCUCGGAUUAUAGCUCCCAGCCCUGCAAGAUGCUUUUCUGAGCUUGUAGCAGCAUCCACAUUGACCUUAACAAAUCCAUUUUGGGGGGGAUUCCAAACCUGCUGAGUCUGCACCUGCUGACUUUCCUUUCGAACUUGCUCUGGUUUUUGAACUCUUUUGUAAGCCUCCAAUACUGCUUCAGCUUUAGCAACCAGAGCCUGGGGGUUUUCUCUUUUUCCUUUAAAAAGCAUCUCAUUUCUUGCAUUCCACACCAUCCAACAAAUCAUAAUCAUUAGUUCUAAAUCAGCUUUGUUUCUUCUGCUGUACAAUUCAUGCAGCCAACUCAAAAAAUCCUGCCCAGCAGUUUGCAUGAUGUCAUUCUCAAAUAGAGUGAGUCUCCAGAUUUUCCUUGCAGCUUUACACUCUACCAAUGCAUGAAACACAUUCUCCACUCCGAGCUUGCAUACUUGGCACGUAGGCUCUUGGAUAACUCUUCUCUUCCACAAAUUUUCAGCAGAAGGAAGAAUAUUCUUG
RNAcentral lists this long non-coding RNA (4094 nucleotides) under Citrus sinensis (sweet orange). Its description in RNAcentral is "long non-coding RNA (CSIN_LNC003872)". Lineage: Eukaryota; Viridiplantae; Streptophyta; Magnoliopsida; Sapindales; Rutaceae. The record is from RNAcentral.